Molecule: non-coding RNA, 30 nt
Filed under: Rattus norvegicus (Norway rat)
Lineage: Eukaryota; Metazoa; Chordata; Mammalia; Rodentia; Muridae
Source: RNAcentral
UGGAAACGAAGCUUUUUGUCAAUUGAUUGU